Molecule: ribosomal RNA, 253 nt
Filed under: uncultured bacterium
Lineage: Bacteria
Description: partial 16S ribosomal RNA
Rfam family: Bacterial small subunit ribosomal RNA
Source: RNAcentral
UACGUAGGGGGCAAGCGUUGUCCGGAAUCAUUGGGCGUAAAGCGCGUGUAGGCGGCUCGAUAAGUCUGCUGUGAAAGUCCAGGGCUCAACCCUGGGAUGCCGGUGGAUACUGUCGAGCUAGAGUCCGGAAGAGGCGAGUGGAAUUCCUGGUGUAGCGGUGAAAUGCGCAGAUAUCAGGAGGAACACCAAUGGCGAAGGCAGCUCGCUGGGACGGUACUGACGCUGAGACGCGAAAGCGUGGGGAGCAAACAGG